GACGAACGCUGGCGGCGUGCUUAACACAUGCAAGUCGAGCGGUAAGGCCCUUUCGGGGGUACACGAGCGGCGAACGGGUGAGUAACACGUGGGUGACCUGCCCUCAGCUCUGGGAUAAGCCUGGGAAACCGGGUCUAAUACCGGAUAUGACUCCAUGACGCAUGUUGUGGGGUGGAAAGCCUUGUGCGGCUGAGGAUGGGCCCGCGGCCUAUCAGCUUGUUGGUGGGGUGANGGCCUACCAAGGCGACGACGGGUAGCCGGCCUGAGAGGGCGACCGGCCACACUGGGACUGAGACACGGCCCAGACUCCUACGGGAGGCAGCAGUGGGGAAUCUUGCGCAAUGGGCGAAAGCCUGACGCAGCAACGCCGCGUGGGGA
RNAcentral lists this ribosomal RNA (378 nucleotides) under uncultured bacterium. RNAcentral describes it as "bacterial SSU rRNA". It matches the Rfam family "Bacterial small subunit ribosomal RNA", at positions 28 to 407 of the family's 1533-position model. The record is from RNAcentral.